CCUGCAGGGUGUGCCAAUUUACCUGUACACGUUCGUCCAACCCUUAUUGCCACUCGAGUAGGAACACACAAAAAGGUGUGUCGGCAGGAUUGGGCGACACGACGUUUCCAAGCCCCACAACUAAUCCAGGGAACCACCCAACUGAGUCUAAUCCGAAACGAGAGCCCGGCCGAAGCGUCGUACGGACUCAAGAGUUGCGUGGACAGCUGGUAGUGGUUCAGUGUCCGCAGAAUGACCACUCCAGACUAGUGCCGCAAUCCUAUAUGAAUGCAAAGUCACCAACAAGUCUCCA
Molecule: long non-coding RNA, 292 nt
Filed under: Brachypodium distachyon (stiff brome)
Lineage: Eukaryota; Viridiplantae; Streptophyta; Magnoliopsida; Poales; Poaceae
Description: long non-coding RNA (BDIS_LNC004613)
Source: RNAcentral